This 252-nucleotide ribosomal RNA is filed under the name uncultured bacterium. RNAcentral's name for it is "partial 16S ribosomal RNA". It matches the Rfam family "Bacterial small subunit ribosomal RNA", at positions 524 to 776 of the family's 1533-position model. The record is from RNAcentral.
UACGUAGGGUCCGAGCGUUGUCCGGAAUACUGGGCGUAAAGCGUGCGCAGGCGGUGAUGUAAGACAGAUGUGAAAUCCCCGGGCUCAACCUGGGAACUGCAUUUGUGACUGCAUCGCUGGAGUGCGGCAGAGGGGGAUGGAAUUCCGCGUGUAGCAGUGAAAUGCGUAGAUAUGCGGAGGAACACCGAUGGCGAAGGCAAUCCCCUGGGCCUGCACUGACGCUCAUGCACGAAAGCGUGGGGAGCAAACAGG